RNAcentral lists this transfer RNA (74 nucleotides) under Candidatus Pacebacteria bacterium RIFOXYB1_FULL_44_10. Its description in RNAcentral is "tRNA-Trp". It matches the Rfam family "tRNA". From Rfam's summary of the family: Transfer RNA (tRNA) molecules are approximately 80 nucleotides in length. Their secondary structure includes four short double-helical elements and three loops (D, anti-codon, and T loops). Lineage: Bacteria; Bacillati; Minisyncoccota. The record is from RNAcentral. RNAcentral also lists the same sequence under 1 other name.
AGGGGCUUAGUUUAAUGGUAGAACAGAGGUCUCCAAAACCUCUAGUAAAGGUUCGAUUCCUUUAGCCCCUGCAA